This 1355-nucleotide ribosomal RNA is filed under the name uncultured bacterium. Its description in RNAcentral is "bacterial SSU rRNA". It matches the Rfam family "Bacterial small subunit ribosomal RNA", at positions 28 to 1381 of the family's 1533-position model. The record is from RNAcentral.
GAUGAACGCUAGCGACAGGCUUAACACAUGCAAGUCGAGGGGCAGCACAGGUAGCAAUACCGGGUGGCGACCGGCGCACGGGUGAGUAACGCGUAUGCAACUUACCUAUCAGAGGGGGAUAACCCGGCGAAAGUCGGACUAAUACCGCAUGAAGCAGGGGCCCCGCAUGGGGAUAUUUGCUAAAGAUUCAUCGCUGAUAGAUAGGCAUGCGUUCCAUUAGGCAGUUGGCGGGGUAACGGCCCACCAAACCGACGAUGGAUAGGGGUUCUGAGAGGAAGGUCCCCCACAUUGGUACUGAGACACGGACCAAACUCCUACGGGAGGCAGCAGUGAGGAAUAUUGGUCAAUGGGCGUAAGCCUGAACCAGCCAAGUCGCGUGAGGGAUGAAGGUUCUAUGGAUCGUAAACCUCUUUUAUAAGGGAAUAAAGUGCGGGACGUGUCCCGUUUUGUAUGUACCUUAUGAAUAAGGAUCGGCUAACUCCGUGCCAGCAGCCGCGGUAAUACGGAGGAUCCGAGCGUUAUCCGGAUUUAUUGGGUUUAAAGGGUGCGUAGGCGGCCUUUUAAGUCAGCGGUGAAAGUCUGUGGCUCAACCAUAGAAUUGCCGUUGAAACUGGGGGGCUUGAGUAUGUUUGAGGCAGGCGGAAUGCGUGGUGUAGCGGUGAAAUGCUUAGAUAUCACGCAGAACCCCGAUUGCGAAGGCAGCCUGCCAAGCCAUGACUGACGCUGAUGCACGAAAGCGUGGGGAUCAAACAGGAUUAGAUACCCUGGUAGUCCACGCAGUAAACGAUGAUCACUAGCUGUUUGCGAUACAGUGUAAGCGGCACAGCGAAAGCGUUAAGUGAUCCACCUGGGGAGUACGCCGGCAACGGUGAAACUCAAAGGAAUUGACGGGGGCCCGCACAAGCGGAGGAACAUGUGGUUUAAUUCGAUGAUACGCGAGGAACCUUACCCGGGUUUGAACGCAUUUCGACCGCUCUGGAAACAGAGCCUCUAGCAAUAGCGAUUUGCGAGGUGCUGCAUGGUUGUCGUCAGCUCGUGCCGUGAGGUGUCGGCUUAAGUGCCAUAACGAGCGCAACCCUUGCCACUAGUUACUAACAGGUUAGGCUGAGGACUCUGGUGGGACUGCCAGCGUAAGCUGCGAGGAAGGCGGGGAUGACGUCAAAUCAGCACGGCCCUUACAUCCGGGGCGACACACGUGUUACAAUGGCGUGGACAAAGGGAUGCCACCUGGCGACAGGGAGCGAAUCCCCAAACCACGUCUCAGUUCGGAUCGGAGUCUGCAACCCGACUCCGUGAAGCUGGAUUCGCUAGUAAUCGCGCAUCAGCCAUGGCGCGGUGAAUACGUUCCCGGGCCU